This 368-nucleotide transfer-messenger RNA is filed under the name Mycobacterium tuberculosis CDC1551. RNAcentral's name for it is "transfer-messenger RNA Mycob_tuber_H37Rv". It matches the Rfam family "transfer-messenger RNA". Rfam says of the family: Bacterial tmRNA, also known as 10Sa RNA or SsrA, is named for its dual tRNA and mRNA-like properties. Its role is to liberate the mRNA from a stalled ribosome. The record is from RNAcentral. Lineage: Bacteria; Bacillati; Actinomycetota; Actinomycetes; Mycobacteriales; Mycobacteriaceae. RNAcentral also lists the same sequence under 84 other names.
GGGGCUGAACGGUUUCGACUUCGCGCAUCGAAUCAAGGGAAGCGUGCCGGUGCAGGCAAGAGACCACCGUAAGCGUCGUUGCGACCAAAUAAGCGCCGAUUCACAUCAGCGCGACUACGCUCUCGCUGCCUAAGCGACGGCUAGUCUGUCAGACCGGGAACGCCCUCGGCCCGGACCCUGGCAUCAGCUAGAGGGAUCCACCGAUGAGUCCGGUCGCGGGACUCCUCGGGACAACCACAGCGACUGGGAUCGUCAUCUCGGCUAGUUCGCGUGACCGGGAGAUCCGAGCAGAGGCAUAGCGAACUGCGCACGGAGAAGCCUUGAGGGAAUGCCGUAGGACCCGGGUUCGAUUCCCGGCAGCUCCACCA